Molecule: unclassified non-coding RNA, 205 nt
Filed under: Hevea brasiliensis (rubber tree)
Lineage: Eukaryota; Viridiplantae; Streptophyta; Magnoliopsida; Malpighiales; Euphorbiaceae
Source: RNAcentral
ACAACAUUAAACACCAUGGGUAUUCUCCCCAGGAAUGUUUCUAAAGAUAAGGGAUCAGGAGCCUGCAGGAUGUCCAAGAGAAGGUGCAUUGUCUCCAGUACCCGUGCUGCAGUAUCCCCCCACCCUCUCUCAAAACCCAGUUCUUGUAAUUUAUAUUCAAAUUCAGAAUAUGGUGAAUCAGGUGGAAGCUUAGAAAUAUAUUCUU